AUUUUAGGUUAUUAGUCUUAUUACCACGAUUAAAGAUAAUANAUAGUAUCUACUAUCUAUACUCUUUUAUUACUCUAUUAUUUAUAGCCGUGGUUAUUAUUUAUUGGUACAAAUUAUUAAUGUACAAUGGUACGCGUUUUUGCGUUAGUGAAAUCAUUGUAUCUGUUUUAAUGUUUAUUAAUUUUGUUUCCGGCCGGUUACUAUUUAGCCAUUUACUAUCGGCGAUACUUUAACUACACCACNACGUGCUGCUGCCGUAUCGAUUUCGGUUUUCUUGCCUCCAUAACUAGCGUGAACGCUCGUUGCGAAAUCGACACAAAAACUUGCUUGAUUGAGCGUGGGUGAGUGAUCUAUCAUGGCACGAUCAUGCUCAUCGUCUAGCGACACGUCGUCGCCAAAGUACGAGUUCUCCGAUUCGGAUUCCGAUCACAAGCGACGGGGCAACAAAAGCCGUCCGCGUCGUUUGCCGACCAGCAACAGUAAGAACGCUGUGGCCGCUCGCAUAAACCGCAUGAAACAGAAACAGUAUGUUAAGGACCUUGAGCAAAAGAUGUCGCAGCUCAAACGUGAGAUCAAGGGUGUAAAACGGGAGUUGAGGGAACGCGAGGAAAAAUGGGCUAGCAGCCGUCGACAGGUGGCCUAUUUGCGGAGUAUGUUAGCCAACAGCAAUCAAAUUGGCGGUUUGUUACGUAACAUACGCUGGAGGAAUAUCGUCCCACAAGGUAGUAAUAUCGACAAGACUCUAAAUGAGUUAAACUCUGACGCGAGUAUUGACCACUUUCCUAUUUCCACGAGCCAUAGUCUGUUUGAUGGUUAUUUUGGUUUAUUAGAGGAAAGAGACAGCGAUCAUCCCCACAUGGUGCCUCCGCCAGUUGCACCUCAAGAAGAUGAGGGCUGGGCACUUUUAGACGGUAUCAACCCUUCAACAACUGAGCUAUUCCAAGAAACCGUCCCAUCUAAAUAUGUGUCAGUGUGCACGUUGUUACCGUAGAAAGACGGUUGUGUGCAUAUCGGUGUCAUAAAUGAUCUUAUUAAUUGAAAGAAGCUGUGAUCUCGCAUGUACAAUUUUACAUGCCAAACCUCCAAAUUAGGCAUAAGGUAAGAAGUGUUUUUGAUUUGAUUAAUUAUCAAGUUUAACUAGUGUUUAGCAUUCAGCGUGACCAAUUUUCUUAUUAAGGACAGUGGAAAUUUGGUUAGUUUUAUUCAUUAAAAAAAAUACAAUAACACAUUUAAAGAAACAUGAAUAGUAACUAAUGAAAGUUAAAUAAUAUAAUUAAAGUAUUUUUCCACUGUCCUUAAUAUUUUAUUAUUGUUAUCAAUAUUAA
RNAcentral lists this unclassified non-coding RNA (1325 nucleotides) under Diuraphis noxia (Russian wheat aphid). RNAcentral describes it as "cREB/ATF bZIP transcription factor-like, transcript variant X1". The record is from RNAcentral. Lineage: Eukaryota; Metazoa; Arthropoda; Insecta; Hemiptera; Aphididae.